RNAcentral lists this ribosomal RNA (587 nucleotides) under uncultured Alphaproteobacteria bacterium. RNAcentral's name for it is "bacterial SSU rRNA". It matches the Rfam family "Bacterial small subunit ribosomal RNA", at positions 49 to 683 of the family's 1533-position model. Lineage: Bacteria; Pseudomonadati; Pseudomonadota; Alphaproteobacteria. The record is from RNAcentral.
UAACACAUGCAAGUCGAACGAUCCUUCGGGAUAGUGGCGGACGGGUGAGUAACACGUGGGAACGUACCUUUAGGUUCGGGAUAACUCAGGGAAACUUGAGCUAAUACCGGAUAAGCCCUUUUGGGGAAAGAUUUAUCGCCUUUAGAGCGGCCCGCGUUAGAUUAGCUAGUUGGUGAGGUAAAGGCUCACCAAGGCUCCGAUCUAUAGCUGGUCUGAGAGGAUGAUCAGCCACACUGGGACUGAGACACGGCCCAGACUCCUACGGGAGGCAGCAGUGGGGAAUCUUGCGCAAUGGGCGAAAGCCUGACGCAGCCAUGCCGCGUGAAUGAUGAAGGUCUUAGGAUUGUAAAAUUCUUUUAGCAGGGACGAUAAUGACGGUACCUGCAGAAAAAGCCCCGGCUAACUUCGUGCCAGCAGCCGCGGUAAUACGAAGGGGGCUAGCGUUGCUCGGAAUUACUGGGCGUAAAGGGAGCGUAGGCGGGUUAUCAAGUUGGAGGUGAAAGCUCCAGGGCUCAACCUUGGAAUUGCCUUCAAAACUGAUAACCUAGAGGAUGAUAGAGGUAAGUGGAACUCCGAGUGUAGAGGUG